Small nuclear RNA from Acanthochromis polyacanthus (spiny chromis), 141 nucleotides. Its record names the gene U4. It matches the Rfam family "U4 spliceosomal RNA". Rfam says of the family: U4 small nuclear RNA (U4 snRNA) is a component of the major U2-dependent spliceosome. The structure of U4 snRNA from yeast and human has been reported. U4 snRNA presents a k-turn RNA motif in the 5p-SL related to recognition of Snu13 protein. The record is from Ensembl. NCBI's taxonomy places the organism in Eukaryota, Metazoa, Chordata, Actinopteri, Pomacentridae.
AUCCUUUCGCAGUGGCAGUAUCAUAACCUAUGAGGUUUAUUUGAGGUGUGAUUAUUGCUGGUUGAAAACUUUAACCCAGUCCCUGCUUUGAUGACUUGAAAUACAGUCAGCAAUAGCAGUUUUUCAGAGUCUCUAAGGAGA